UCCAGAGGUCCCAAGCGUUGUUCGGAUUCAUUGGGCGUAAAGGGUGCGUAGGCGGCGCGGUAAGUCGGGUGUGAAAUCUCGGAGCUUAACUCCGAAACUGCAUUCGAUACUGCCGUGCUUGAGGACUGGAGAGGAGACUGGAAUUUACGGUGUAGCGGUGAAAUGCGUAGAUAUCGUAAGGAAGACCAGUGGCGAAGGCGGGUCUCUGGACAGUUCCUGACGCUGAGGCACGAAGGCCAGGGGAGCAAACGGG
This 253-nucleotide ribosomal RNA is filed under the name uncultured bacterium. Its description in RNAcentral is "partial 16S ribosomal RNA". It matches the Rfam family "Bacterial small subunit ribosomal RNA", at positions 524 to 776 of the family's 1533-position model. The record is from RNAcentral.